AUUGAACGCUGGCGGCAGGUCUAACACAUGCAAGUCGAGCGGAUGAAGAGAGCUUGCUCUCUGAUUCAGCGGCGGACGGGUGAGUAAUGCCUAGGAAUCUGCCUGGUAGUGGGGGACAACGUUUCGAAAGGAACGCUAAUACCGCAUACGUCCUACGGGAGAAAGCAGGGGACCUUCGGGCCUUGCGCUAUCAGAUGAGCCUAGGUCGGAUUAGCUAGUUGGUGAGGUAAUGGCUCACCAAGGCGACGAUCCGUAACUGGUCUGAGAGGAUGAUCAGUCACACUGGAACUGAGACACGGUCCAGACUCCUACGGGAGGCAGCAGUGGGGAAUAUUGGACAAUGGGCGAAAGCCUGAUCCAGCCAUGCCGCGUGUGUGAAGAAGGUCUUCGGAUUGUAAAGCACUUUAAGUU
Molecule: ribosomal RNA, 411 nt
Filed under: uncultured bacterium
Lineage: Bacteria
Description: bacterial SSU rRNA
Rfam family: Bacterial small subunit ribosomal RNA
Source: RNAcentral